AUCUUUUUGCCACGUCAUCCUGGAAACCGGUCUUUCAAAGGUCUGAAGCUUAUUUGUUUUGUUCUUCUCCCAACUAUCCCACUUUGUCGUAACUGAUCAAAUUCUGCACUUCUCAGUUACAGUAAUCUACGAUUUAUCAAUCUAUUAUGCUUUUAAGUCAUCUUAAAUAGUUUCGUUCCAUCUCCCCUUAUAUCUCCUUCUAUGUAAAUUAUAAAGUGCUCCAUCUGAUCUUAAAUCAACCCUAAUUGAAAAACUUCACUGAAGAAGCUACAGCUAUUGCCAUGAAAUCCACCGGUGAGCAUGUCUACCAUCGCCACCGGGACCAGCCGAAUCUGGACUCCAUUUUCGGUUAAGAAGGCCAGAAACUUUGCUAAUGGCCGGACUUUAUUGGGUUAGAGCUCUUCCUCAUCCAUGAACAGGUAUGAAUACUUUUUCCCAACUUUUCUUCCGUCAUAUUCUAUACAUGUUUCUCUAAGCUGAUUGAUUCCUGAAGGGGACUGUGCUGCAAGGAUUCGUCUCCUCUAAAGCAGGGACAUUGACGGUCAUCUUCUCCAGCUUUAUUUCUUUAUCUGCGUGUUAACUUAGAUUUGUUUGGCCACAUUCAACUACUAAUCUUCUGAACAAUGUUGUUGAUGUUGUUGGUCACUUGAUCUGGUAAUAGACAGUCUCUAAUGGACUUUCCUGUCCCUGACGAAGUGGAGAUAGCAACCACACGUCGUUUUUUUGGUUCAUUUGCAAUCAAAAGAGUAUGUUUUCCUGUACUUAGAAUGACUGACGCCUCUGUGAAUUCCAACUCUCUACAGUACAGACCUUGUAUUUUAUUCAGUCCUACAACUGAAAUUGACGUCUCACCCAAUGGAAAAUUGCUCGAGUAGAUGAUAUGUAAUUGUAGUUUUUUUCUUCUUUUAAAGCAUGAGAAUGGCUAUAGUUUUUCGUUUUUAAUUUAUGGGUGAUUUGAUGUCUUUUUUAAUAUCUUCACCAUCUUUUGAUCUUUGCCAUGAAAGUAAUAAGAGCUAUAUCCUCAUUUCUUUGAUUGCAGGCUUGCAGCUUAAUCAUCCCCAACAUCGUUUACUGUUGAUCGGAGUAUUGUGUUGUUGUUGUGAUUGCUAAGCCUAGACAUCAUAGCUUUUCCAGAACUUUAUGGAACCUGCAUAUGGAAACAACGAGACGUCCCUCAACCGUUUAUGCCUGAUUUAUCAGGAAGAUAGAGUGCUCAAAUUUAACCUUCCAAUCCUAAUGCUCCAGUUGCUAAUUUAGUGCUUAACUACUCCAUACAAACAGGGGAGGUGUUUUAUCUUGACUUUAUGCUUACAGCAUCUACCAUCUGAGGAGAAGAAAAAUAUGAGCAAAGGUGAUACCUUUUUAGCAUGUUCUUUGAAUCUUUGUUAUUUUUCCAGAUUUCACAUAUAUAUACAUCGGGCUUAUCAUAUGUAAGCCUCUCCAUCUCCUUUCAAAAAGAGAUAUUUGUCUUCAAGCUUUCAA
Long non-coding RNA from Brassica rapa (field mustard), 1482 nucleotides. RefSeq lists it as uncharacterized. NCBI's taxonomy places the organism in Eukaryota, Viridiplantae, Streptophyta, Magnoliopsida, Brassicales, Brassicaceae. The record is from RefSeq and is a predicted model, not a curated record.